CACGUGUAGCGGUGAAAUGCGUAGAGAUGUGGAGGAACACCAGUGGCGAAGGCGGCUUUCUGGUCUGUUAACUGACGCUGAGGCGCGAAAGCGUGGGGAGCAAACAGGAUUACGAUACCCUGGUAGUCCACGCCGUAAACGAUGAGUGCUAAGUGUUAGGGGGUUUCCGCCCCUUAGUGCUGCAGCUAACGCAUUAAGCACUCCGCCUGGGGAGUACGGCCGCAAAGGCUG
This 231-nucleotide ribosomal RNA is filed under the name uncultured organism. RNAcentral's name for it is "partial 16S ribosomal RNA". It matches the Rfam family "Bacterial small subunit ribosomal RNA", at positions 670 to 896 of the family's 1533-position model. The record is from RNAcentral.